AUUUAAUUCAAAUUAAAAAAAUAAUCUAAAUUAAAUCAAAUAUCAUGAUUUUAAAUUAUUUUUUAUUUUUUUAUUCCCUAGCAAGAGAAAGAGAUCCCAGAAUCAUAGUCGAUGCCAGUGAGAGAUUCGCAAUCACAGGCAGAUUUGUGGUAUCCGUAUAUUAGAACAAAUAUAUGCAAAUAUGCAAUGCAGAGACCCAGGAGAGAGAACAAAUGUAUUAUAAUAUAUGUACGGUCGUUUGGUUUCUGAUUUUAGCAAAGUCGGGCCAACAGUUCUACUUUUGUUUUUUUCUAUCUUCAUUUCGUUGUCACAUGCCUUUAUCUCUUUCGGGACCCUGGGAUCCUGAUUCCUUUCCCACUGCAGCAGAGGCUGAAACGGCCAGGGAUGGAAUGGAAUGCUUGCUCGUGUUUCUUGGUUUUAACCUGAUUAUUUCAUUCGUUAAGAUGUUUUUAUAAUGUAACCAUUGGGGUUAUAUUAGAUUUUCUGAUGGCAUAUAUAAAGCUGGUGUAGAUGAUUUGAAUUUGAUUAAAUCUGAUUUAAUUAUUAAAAAAGCUAAUAAAUGAAACUUGUUCAAUUUGAAUCCAAAUGAUUAAAAAAAUUAAUCCUUUUAUGCCUAAAUUAAUUGGUUACCAGUUAACUUGAUCAAAGUCAACACAAUGGAGUCAUCUAAAUAAGACAUAUUUAGAGAGUCACGUCACCCACUCCCAAAAAAAAUAACCUUCCUUGUUCAAUAUUUAGAAGUCUUCAAAAAUAUAAUCAUGAAGUGAGAGAAUUCACUGAUAAAUGGAGAAAAUCAUGUGCUAGAAAUAAAUGUGAGGUUUUUCUUAUGAAUGGCACAGCGUACGUGUUAUGGUGCUUUGAAAUUAUAAAGGAACCAUACCAAUGUAAAUGGGUCCUAACUGCUUUGAUGAUUAUCCAAAUUCAAACUAAUACCUCUUUCCAAGGAAAGUUCACAACUUUCUUUAAUUGUUUAUAAUUAUUUAUCCACACGAAACACGCUCUUGAAUUGUUUAUAAUCAUUUACACUAUAA
This 1031-nucleotide long non-coding RNA is filed under the name Durio zibethinus. RNAcentral describes it as "long non-coding RNA (DZIB_LNC000603)". Lineage: Eukaryota; Viridiplantae; Streptophyta; Magnoliopsida; Malvales; Malvaceae. The record is from RNAcentral.